This 332-nucleotide ribosomal RNA is filed under the name uncultured Nitrospirota bacterium. Its description in RNAcentral is "bacterial SSU rRNA". It matches the Rfam family "Bacterial small subunit ribosomal RNA", at positions 29 to 351 of the family's 1533-position model. Lineage: Bacteria; Pseudomonadati; Nitrospirota. The record is from RNAcentral.
AACGAACGCUGGCGGCGUGCUUAACACAUGCAAGUCGAACGGGUUCAUAAUGAGUAGCAAUACUUGAUAUGAAUUAGUGGCGGACGGGUGAGUAACACGUAGGUAACCUACCCUUGAGCGGGGGACAACCCAGGGAAACUUGGGCUAAUACCCCAUAAGACCACGGGGUGCAAAUUCCGUGGUAAAAGUAGUAAUACGCUCAUGGACGGGCCUGCGGCCUAUCAGGUAGUUGGUGAGGUAAAGGCCCACCAAGCCAAAGACGGGUAGCCGGGCUGAGAGGUUGAACGGCCACACUGGAACUGAGACACGGUCCAGACUCCUACGGGUGGCUG